This 23-nucleotide non-coding RNA is filed under the name Cricetulus griseus (Chinese hamster). Lineage: Eukaryota; Metazoa; Chordata; Mammalia; Rodentia; Cricetidae. The record is from RNAcentral.
UCUGAAGGGGACAGUGUUGGAGA